Molecule: ribosomal RNA, 297 nt
Filed under: uncultured bacterium
Lineage: Bacteria
Description: partial 16S ribosomal RNA
Rfam family: Bacterial small subunit ribosomal RNA
Source: RNAcentral
UUGUCCUACGGGGCGCAGCAGUGGGGAAUAUUGCACAAUGGGGGAAACCCUGAUGCAGCGACGCCGCGUGGGUGAAGAAGUAUUUCGGUAUGUAAAGCCCUAUCAGCAGGGAAGAAAAAUGACGGUACCUGACUAAGAAGCACCGGCUAAAUACGUGCCAGCAGCCGCGGUAAUACGUAUGGUGCAAGCGUUAUCCGGAUUUAUUGGGUUUAAAGGGUGCGCAGGCGGUCUGUUAAGUCAGCGGUCAAAGCCCGGGGCUCAACCCCGGCCCGCCGUUGAAACUGGCAGUCUCGAGUU